AGAGUUUGAUCAUGGCUCAGAUUGAACGCUGGCGGCAGGCCUAACACAUGCAAGUCGAGCGGUAGCACAGAGAGCUUGCUCUCGGGUGACGAGCGGCGGACGGGUGAGUAAUGUCUGGGAAACUGCCUGAUGGAGGGGGAUAACUACUGGAAACGGUAGCUAAUACCGCAUAACGUCGCAAGACCAAAGUGGGGGACCUUCGGGCCUCAUGCCAUCAGAUGUGCCCAGAUGGGAUUAGCUAGUAGGUGGGGUAACGGCUCACCUAGGCGACGAUCCCUAGCUGGUCUGAGAGGAUGACCAGCCACACUGGAACUGAGACACGGUCCAGACUCCUACGGGAGGCAGCAGUGGGGAAUAUUGCACAAUGGGCGCAAGCCUGAUGCAGCCAUGCCGCGUGUGUGAAGAAGGCCUUCGGGUUGUAAAGCACUUUCAGCGGGGAGGAAGGCGUUAAGGUUAAUAACCUCAUCGAUUGACGUUACCCGCAGAAGAAGCACCGGCUAACUCCGUGCCAGCAGCCGCGGUAAUACGGAGGGUGCAAGCGUUAAUCGGAAUUACUGGGCGUAAAGCGCACGCAGGCGGUCUGUCAAGUCGGAUGUGAAAUCCCCGGGCUCAACCUGGGAACUGCAUUCGAAACUGGCAGGCUAGAGUCUUGUAGAGGGGGGUAGAAUUCCAGGUGUAGCGGUGAAAUGCGUAGAGAUCUGGAGGAAUACCGGUGGCGAAGGCGGCCCCCUGGACAAAGACUGACGCUCAGGUGCGAAAGCGUGGGGAGCAAACAGGAUUAGAUACCCUGGUAGUCCACGCCGUAAACGAUGUCGAUUUGGAGGUUGUGCCCUUGAGGCGUGGCUUCCGGAGCUAACGCGUUAAAUCGACCGCCUGGGGAGUACGGCCGCAAGGUUAAAACUCAAAUGAAUUGACGGGGGCCCGCACAAGCGGUGGAGCAUGUGGUUUAAUUCGAUGCAACGCGAAGAACCUUACCUGGUCUUGACAUCC
RNAcentral lists this ribosomal RNA (990 nucleotides) under Klebsiella pneumoniae BIDMC 12A. Its description in RNAcentral is "bacterial SSU rRNA". It matches the Rfam family "Bacterial small subunit ribosomal RNA", at positions 8 to 989 of the family's 1533-position model. Lineage: Bacteria; Pseudomonadati; Pseudomonadota; Gammaproteobacteria; Enterobacterales; Enterobacteriaceae. The record is from RNAcentral.